AUUGAACGCUGGCGGCAGGCUUAACACAUGCAAGUCGAACGAGCGGCGGACGGGUGAGUAAUGUCUGGGAAUCUGGCUUAUGGAGGGGGAUAACGACGGGAAACUGUCGCUAAUACCGCGUACCAUAGGAUGAGCCCAAGUGGGAUUAGGUAGUUGGUGGGGUAAUGGCUUACCAAGGCGACGAUCCCUAGCUGGUCUGAGAGGAUGACCAGCCACACGGGGACUGAGACACGGUCCAGACUCCUACGGGAGGCAGCAGUGGGGAAUAUUGCACAAUGGGCGCAAGCCUGACGCAGCCAUGCCGCGUGAGUGAAGAAGGCCUUCGGGUUGUAAAGUACUUUCAGUGAGGAGGCGUUAAUCGCAGAAGAAGCACCGGCUAACUCCGUGCCAGCAGCCGCGGUAAUAC
Molecule: ribosomal RNA, 406 nt
Filed under: uncultured bacterium
Lineage: Bacteria
Description: partial 16S ribosomal RNA
Rfam family: Bacterial small subunit ribosomal RNA
Source: RNAcentral